This 491-nucleotide ribosomal RNA is filed under the name Thymogethes grenieri. Its description in RNAcentral is "partial 16S ribosomal RNA". Lineage: Eukaryota; Metazoa; Arthropoda; Insecta; Coleoptera; Nitidulidae. The record is from RNAcentral.
CAUGUCUUUUUGUAUUAUUAAUAUAAAGUCUAACCUGCCCAAUGAUAGUUAUUAAAUGGCCGCAGUAUUUUGACUGUGCAAAGGUAGCAUAAUCAUUAGUUUUUUAAUUGAAAGCUGGAAUGAAAGGUUGAAUGAGAAAAUGACUGUCUUUGUUGUAUUUAAUUAAAAUUUUAUUUUUAAGUUAAAAAGCUUAAAUUUUAUUUAAAGACGAGAAGACCCUUUAGAGUUUUAUAAUAAUUUAUUUUUUAAUUUUUUAGAAUUAAUAUUAUUAUAUAGUAAUUAUUAUUUUAUUGGGGUGAUUGAAAAAUUUAAUAAACUUUUUUUUUAUUAUUACAUUUAUAUAUGAUUAUUUGAUCCAUUUAUUAUGAUUAUAAGAUUAAAUUACCUAAGGGAUAACAGCGUUAUUUUUUUUGAGAGUUCAAAUCGAAAAAAAAGAUUGCGACCUCGAUGUUGGAUUAAAAUUAAAUUAUGGUGUAGAGGCUAUAACUUAA